Molecule: ribosomal RNA, 235 nt
Filed under: uncultured bacterium
Lineage: Bacteria
Description: partial 16S ribosomal RNA
Rfam family: Bacterial small subunit ribosomal RNA
Source: RNAcentral
CGGACGGGUGAGUAACGCGUGGGUAACCUGCCUCAUACAGGGGGAUAACAGUUAGAAAUGACUGCUAAUACCGCAUAAGACCACAGCACCGCAUGGUGCAGGGGUAAAAACUCCGGUGGUAUGAGAUGGACCCGCGUUGGAUUAGCUAGUUGGCAGGGUAACGGCCUGCCAAGGCGACGAUCCAUAGCCGGCCUGAGAGGGUGAACGGCCACAUUGGGACUGAGACACGGCCCAA